GUGAACGCUGGCGGUAGGCCUAACACAUGCAAGUCGAACGGCAGCACAGUAAGAGCUUGCUCUUACGGGUGGCGAGUGGCGGGCGGGUGAGGAAUACAUCGGAAUCUACUUUUUCGUGGGGGAUAACGUAGGGAAACUUACGCUAAUACCGCAUACGACCUACGGGUGAAAGCAGGGGAUCUUCGGACCUUGCGCGAUUGAAUGAGCCGAUGUCGGAUUAGCUAGUUGGCGGGGUAAAGGCCCACCAAGGCGACGAUCCGUAGCUGGUCUGAGAGGAUGAUCCGCCACACUGGAACUGAGACACGGUCCAGACUCCUACGGGAGGCAGCAGUGGGGAAUAUUGGACAAUGGGCGCAAGCCUGAUCCAGCCAUACCGCGUGGGUGAAGAAGGCCUUCGGGUUGUAAAGCCCUUUUGUUGGGAAAGAAAAGCAGCAGGUUAAUACCCCGCUGUUCUGACGGUACCCAAAGAAUAAGCACCGGCUAACUUCGUG
This 491-nucleotide ribosomal RNA is filed under the name uncultured bacterium. RNAcentral's name for it is "partial 16S ribosomal RNA". It matches the Rfam family "Bacterial small subunit ribosomal RNA", at positions 29 to 507 of the family's 1533-position model. The record is from RNAcentral.